AGUGAACGCUGGCGGUAGGCCUAACACAUGCAAGUCGAACGGCAGCACAGGAGAGCUUGCUCUCUGGGUGGCGAGUGGCGGACGGGUGAGGAAUACAUCGGAAUCUACUCUGUCGUGGGGGAUAACGUAGGGAGACUUACGCUAAUACCGCAUACGACCUACGGGUGAAAGCAGGGGACCUUCGGGCCUUGCGCGAUUGAAUGAGCCGAUGUCGGAUUAGCUAGUUGGCGGGGUAACGGCCCACCAAGGAGACGAUCCGUAGCUGGUCUGAGAGGAAGAACAGCCACACUGGAGCUGGGAGACGGUCCAGACCCCUACGGGGGGAAGCAGUCGAGAAUAUUGGACAAUGGGCGAAAGCCGGAUCCAGCACUACCGCGUGGGUGAAGAAGGCCUUCGGCUUGUAAAGUCCUUUUGUUGGGAAAGAAAUCCAGCUGGCUAAUACCCGGUUGGGAUGACGGUACCCAAAGAAUAAGCACCGGCUAACUUCGUGCCAGCCGCCGCGGUAA
Molecule: ribosomal RNA, 506 nt
Filed under: uncultured bacterium
Lineage: Bacteria
Description: partial 16S ribosomal RNA
Rfam family: Bacterial small subunit ribosomal RNA
Source: RNAcentral